CUGCGCCCUGCGGAGCUCCGAACACGUGCGCAGAGGCUGGCUGUGGCAGAUGCAACUGCAGGAUGACUUGAAAGUAGGGCAUCCUUCACCCAUCUGAAGGGAGGAAAUAGUGGCAGGUGACAGUCUGCAUGUGCAGUUUUCAGAUGCCUUCACCUGAAUGACAUCUACCUCCAUCAGGACCCCAGAUGUCUGACAGCCCUGUGUGACACCAAGAUAAGUAACGAUCCCGUUGAAGAUACCACAUUACACUUAGGCUCCUGUUGGCCAUGACAGCUUCUUAGACUUGUUUUUAAUGACCUUGACAGUUUUGUUUUUUUGUUUGUUUGUUUUUGAGACGGAGUCUCUGUCAUCCAGGCUGGAGUGCAAUGUAAUGGCUCAAUCUCAGCUCACUGCAACCUCUGCCUCCCGGGUUCAAGUGAUUCUCCUGCCUCAGCCUCCCCAGUAGCUGGGAUUACAGGCAUGAGCCACCGUGCCCGGCUGCCUCCUAAAUUCUCAAAACAUUCCAUUUUUAUUCUGUGGUCUUACUUUAUUCUGUCAUGUAGAGAAUAGUGGUUGAGCCUGUUGUCUUUUGAGAGUGGAUGCUGUAGUCCUUACAUGGCUGACUUUCAGCCCGUAAGCUUAUAGUAGAG
Molecule: long non-coding RNA, 629 nt
Filed under: Homo sapiens (human)
Lineage: Eukaryota; Metazoa; Chordata; Mammalia; Primates; Hominidae
Description: non-protein coding SNHG4:10
Source: RNAcentral